GCCAGGAGUGGUGGAGCAUGCCUGCAGUCCCAGGUACUUGGGAGGCUCAUGCAAGAGGAUCACUUGGGCCCAAGGAGUUCUGGGUUGCAGUGUGCUAUGCCAAUUGGGUGUCUAAGUUCAGGAGUGGGGCACUACCAUAUUGCCUAGGAAGGGGUGAAUCGGCCCAGGUUAAAAAUGAAACAGAUCAAAACUCCCAUGAUCAGUAGUGAAAUUGCAGUGUGAAUAGCCACUGCAAUCAUCCUGGGAAACAUAGUGAGACCAAAUAUCU
Molecule: signal recognition particle RNA, 268 nt
Filed under: Carlito syrichta (Philippine tarsier)
Lineage: Eukaryota; Metazoa; Chordata; Mammalia; Primates; Tarsiidae
Description: Metazoan signal recognition particle RNA (ENSTSYG00000036623.1)
Rfam family: Metazoan signal recognition particle RNA
About the family: The signal recognition particle (SRP) is a universally conserved ribonucleoprotein. It is involved in the co-translational targeting of proteins to membranes. The eukaryotic SRP consists of a 300-nucleotide 7S RNA and six proteins: SRPs 72, 68, 54, 19, 14, and 9.
Source: RNAcentral